ACACAUGCAAGUCGAGCGGCAGCGGAAAGUAGCUUGCUACUUUGCCGGCGAGCGGCGGACGGGUGAGUAAUGUCUGGGAAACUGCCUGAUGGAGGGGGAUAACUACUGGAAACGGUAGCUAAAACCGCAUAACGUCGCAAGACCAAAGAGGGGGACCUUCGGGCCUCUUGCCAUCAGAUGUGCCCAGAUGGGAUUAGCUAGUAGGUGGGGUAACGGCUCACCUAGGCGACGAUCCCUAGCUGGUCUGAGAGGAUGACCAGCCACACUGGAACUGAGACACGGUCCAGACUCCUACGGGAGGCAGCAGUGGGGAAUAUUGCACAAUGGGCGCAAGCCUGAUGCAGCCAUGCCGCGUGUAUGAAGAAGGCCUUCGGGUUGUAAAGUACUUUCAGCGGGGAGGAAGGCGAUAAGGUUAAUAACCUUGUCGAUUGACGUUACCCGCAGAAGAAGCACCGGCUAACUCCGUGCCAGCAGCCGCGGUAAUACGGAGGGUGCAAGCGUUAAUCGGAAUUACUGGGCGUAAAGCGCACGCAGGCGGUCUGUCAAGUCGGAUGUGAAAUCCCCGGGCUCAACCUGGGAAC
Molecule: ribosomal RNA, 581 nt
Filed under: uncultured bacterium
Lineage: Bacteria
Description: bacterial SSU rRNA
Rfam family: Bacterial small subunit ribosomal RNA
Source: RNAcentral